RNAcentral lists this transfer RNA (74 nucleotides) under Exiguobacterium profundum. RNAcentral's name for it is "tRNA-Thr". It matches the Rfam family "tRNA". From Rfam's summary of the family: Transfer RNA (tRNA) molecules are approximately 80 nucleotides in length. Their secondary structure includes four short double-helical elements and three loops (D, anti-codon, and T loops). Lineage: Bacteria; Bacillati; Bacillota; Bacilli; Caryophanales. The record is from RNAcentral.
GCCGGAUUAGCACAGCGGUAGUGCAGCGCUCUUGUAAAGCGAAGGUCGGGGUUCAAGUCCCUCAUCCGGCACCA